Molecule: ribosomal RNA, 253 nt
Filed under: uncultured bacterium
Lineage: Bacteria
Description: partial 16S ribosomal RNA
Rfam family: Bacterial small subunit ribosomal RNA
Source: RNAcentral
UACAGGGGGGGCAAGCGUUGUUCGGAAUUACUGGGCGUAAAGGGCUCGUAGGCGGCCAACUAAGUCAGACGUGAAAUCCCUCAGCUUAACUGGGGAACUGCGUCUGAUACUGGAUGGCUUGGAUUCGGGAGAGGGAUGCGGAAUUCCAGGUGUAGCGGUGAAAUGCGUAGAUAUCUGGAGGAACACCGGUGGCGAAGGCGGCAUUCUGGACCGACAUUGACGCUGAGGAGCGAAAGCCAGGGGAGCAAACGGG